GCCCAGUGAGGAGACCUAGGCAAAUAUGAGCCCAUUGGCUGAGAGGCCAUGUGAUCCUGCUUUCUGAUUGGUGGGUAAUCUUGGUAGAGCAGCGAAGAAUUGCUGUUCUGCUGUAAGGGCCCACCAAUAGAAAGUCAGCAGCUACCGCAUAUCAUUGUCUCUCUCUUCAAGCCAUAGAUGAGAGACUGGGGAGCUGCUAACAGUGUGUGUGUGCAUGUGUGUGUCAGUAAGCACGGUAUCAUGACUCUCUGUUUUGGCCAAUAGGCAUUGAUCCUGUUCUUUGGUAAUCUGAGGGCA
This is a small nucleolar RNA of Engraulis encrasicolus (European anchovy), 297 nucleotides long. Lineage: Eukaryota; Metazoa; Chordata; Actinopteri; Clupeiformes; Engraulidae. The record is from RefSeq and is a predicted model, not a curated record.